Long non-coding RNA from Columba livia (rock pigeon), 2263 nucleotides. RefSeq lists it as uncharacterized. Lineage: Eukaryota; Metazoa; Chordata; Aves; Columbiformes; Columbidae. The transcript is spliced from 2 exons. The record is from RefSeq and is a predicted model, not a curated record.
UCGAGCUGCGUAGCUGGCCAAUGAAAUUGCCGAGAAGGAACCGAGGGGGCGGGGCGCAGGGGCUCGAGGGGUUGCAAACGCAUACGCCCUCUACAGAGCUCGCGUGUGCGCGGCGUCCCCCUAAUGCAGCCGCGGGGCGUGGCUAUGCAAAUAGCGCACCCGUAGGCUCGAAGGGCCGCCGGGAGGUUCCGCCGUGCGGUUGCCGGUGAGCGCGCAGCGCGGUGCGCUUGGUUCCGCUUGUGCUCAGGUAAUCGCACGCGUGGGGUCGGGGCAGUGGGGAGAAACACUUGGGAGCUCAAGGACGCUACAGAUGUUCCACAUCAAACCGAAAGAAAAGGCGAUUUUGCUGCCAGCGCAGAAAAACUGAUUAAAGAUUGCAGUUAACAGAGCAUGCCCCAUCCCUGAAUUGGUCCCUUGGUAGAUGCAAAUGUUUCAGGUUUCUGUCUGCAAAAGCACGGCAAGAAGUCUCAUUAAAAUGUGCGUGACUUGAAGGCAAGUGCCGUGCCAGGCGUGGCUGCAGCAUCAGGCCUGAAGACACGCUCCUUCUGCUCAACCUUCGCUUCCAGAAACCCCUCGGCUGCUCCGAUUCUGUGCGCACGAUCCGGGGUACACGUGUGAGUCUUACAGACGUUCCCUCCACAGCCCAAAGCGGGCUGUGUUACACUUUACACAGGGCUGAUAGAAACUCAUCCCAAUGAGUUAAGAAGACUACAAGUAAUCAACUAAAUCCAUGCCAAAUGAAACAAAAUAAAGAGUUCAAGGUUGUCUGUACAUUGCCUUCUUCACUAAAGUUCAUCAGAGUCAGCUCACACUUCUUUCAAACACAAUGGACUCGUGAUUGGAAAGGUGUUUUUUUAAACUGAAACCUGUAGCUCGUGAUCUAGUAUUUCCCUCUAAUGUGAACAAAGAUGAAUAUGAUGCUUAGGUCGGCCACUGGAAAAGCUCCUGUGAAUUUCCCUAAGCUUUAAUCAGACAUCCAACCAAAACGUGUAAAAAUACUGUAAAAUUGUAAAAACAAUUCUGAGACCAUCAGUUCUUCCUUAAAAUGGCAUACCAGCCUGCCUCAUUCUUUUCAGAUUAGGCCUUCUGUCUGCAUCCUGAAGUUUAUAUUAUGCAUAAAUGUGUAUAAACCACAUUUAUUUGCAUGUUACACAAUACUCAUUCUACUUCCUCUGAAAGUCUACUCUACAUGUUCAGUACUUUUAUAUUGACUUUUAACAUAGAUUUGUUAAACUGCGGAUUUUUCAGCCAUCUGCUUACCUUACCCAGUUUAUUCUAGUGUAUUUUCCCAUUUAUUUUACACACAGACACCAUAUCAACAUAUACUGGAGCCCUGGUCUUGCAGCACCAGAGACUGCAGAGGAUGAUGAGGGCCCUUCAGCAGGUUUUGUAAGUCCCAAACCCUUCCCAGCAGUACAAAGUAUAGUCAUGGCUUUGAGGACUGGAGAUAAAAGUGAGCCCAUAUACCUUUGGAUGUUAGGAGCUUUAGACAAAGAUCAGAUGACUCCGAUCUGCAUGACAAUUUGUUUUGUAUCAUCUUUCUGUAGUACACACUUUUUUUUGGUGGGCUGAAGUACCUUCUUUCCUACUAGUACUCAAGUCCUGAUGCAAAUCCUAGUCUGCUCUGUUAGCUCUCGUUAAUCAGGAAUUCUUGGAACAAUACAAACACGUUUGUAUUUUUAGCACACAUUAUGUCUUUUCCAUCUGCAAGACACUUAGUUGAGCUACCUCCCUUUCCUAUGGGCUAAACUAUUUCAUUAUUCUCGCUUGAUUCCACAAACACAACAGGUCACUUUCUACUAAUAUGACAUGAAAGAAAGAGAUUGAAAAUGUCAGCAUUGGCACUGGCUGCCUGCUGAAAUCAGUCUGCAGAGCUGAGCUGUGUUUACAAUGCCAAAGUUAAAGGGAAGUCAUGGAACUCCCUCUUCCCCCGCCCGACUUCACCUCUCCCACACACGGACAGGCUGCCUGGCCUCAAAGAACAGCCGCGCAGUAAUGGAUCGGAAUAACUUUUAAUGAGCACACAGCUGGCUUUAGGAUGGCAAUGGUUAAACACCAAGUGCUACAUUGCUCGGCUGCAGGGAUAACCCAGCCCUACCUGCGGUACUGCAGGGAAGGCACAAAUAUCCAGCGGCACACGGUGCAGGCGUUUCUCUCACCCUGCUUGUCAGUGAAAACACCUUUUGUAACGUUUUGUACAUUUGAAGCAUUUCUUCUUUAUGUAAAAUAUUCAAUAAAUGUAAAGUAGUAUUUUGGCUGUAAA